Molecule: ribosomal RNA, 510 nt
Filed under: uncultured bacterium
Lineage: Bacteria
Description: partial 16S ribosomal RNA
Rfam family: Bacterial small subunit ribosomal RNA
Source: RNAcentral
GACGAACGCUGGCGGCGUGCUUAACACAUGCAAGUCGAACGAAGAGCGAUGGAAGCUUGCUUCUAUCAAUCUUAGUGGCGCACGGGUGAGUAACGCGUAAUCAACCUGCCCUUCAGAGGGGGACAACAGUUGGAAACGACUGCUAAUACCGCAUACGAUCUAAUCUCGGCAUCGAGGAAAGAUGAAAGGUGGCCUCUAUUUAUAAGCUAUCACUGAAGGAGGGGAUUGCGUCUGAUUAGCUAGUUGGAGGGGUAACGGCCCACCAAGGCGAUGAUCAGUAGCCGGUCUGAGAGGAGGAACGGCCACAGUGGGACUGAGACACGGCCCAGACUCCUACGGGAGGCAGCAGUGGGGAAUCUUCCGCAAUGGACGAAAGUCUGACGGAGCAACGCCGCGUGAGUGAGGACGGCCUUCGGGUUGUAAAGCUCUGUUAAUCGGGACGAAAGGCCUUCUUGCGAACAGUUAGAAGGAUUGACGGUACCGGAAGAGAAAGCCACGGCUAACUACGUG